This is a long non-coding RNA of Cucumis sativus (cucumber), 780 nucleotides long. RefSeq lists it as uncharacterized. The record is from RefSeq and is a predicted model, not a curated record. Lineage: Eukaryota; Viridiplantae; Streptophyta; Magnoliopsida; Cucurbitales; Cucurbitaceae. The transcript has 2 exons.
CCUCCCAAGUCCGAUGGGAUGAUUCCCUCUCACUAUUACUUCAACUACUCUCAACAUCCAUCUUUUAUGUCACUUCUGAAGUGCCUAUAUAUAUAUAUGUGUGUGUUCCACUUCCAUACCCUUAUCGGUAGUUAUAUUUUAGAAUUUGUGUCUUGUAGAAUCGAUCUCCUCUUGAUGAAUGUUGAUAUUUGAAGAGAUUCUCAUGAUCCUUAGGUGUAUUCUAAGGAGGAACGGUAGCAUGCAUCGUGGAGAGGGAUCAACCUGGGUGAUCUCAAAUAAAUUCUAUAAUUGUCGCUACUUUACAGAUAAGUGCUACGUUUUGUAAACAUUAAACUUUUUUAUAUUAGUGAAUGUAACAUUUUUGGAUACACUACCCCUUAGACGUAUGUAAUUGAGUGAUAUAUCACUAAAUUAGGUUAUCAACUCUACAUGUUCUUUUUCUUAGCAUGUUGCUUGCCAUUUUACUUAUUAUUGUGUCUAUAUGAUGGCCAAGACUAUUUGUAGUACAUGUGUUGAUGCCAAAAUUUGAACAAAAUAAUGAGAGAGGCGUGCAUUCGUACAAACCCAUUGAUGAAAUAAGGUGAAGGCUGAGUAGGUUAUUUUUGGCUAAUUCAUAUUCAUUUGUUGGGGAGCCUCAAUCUUAAUCUUUGGUUACCUGAAGCUGAGUAGGUUAAGUUCGAGCUUUUGGCCUAACCGCACUCUUAUUCUCUAAGGUCCGAUUGUGCUUGAAGUUUCACCCUUUUUCUUGAUUUGAUAUACAUAUGUUUACCUUUCUUUAAA